UGGGGAAUAUUGGACAAUGGGCGCAAGCCUGAUCCAGCCAUGCCGCGUGAGUGAUGAAGGCCUUAGGGUUGUAAAGCUCUUUCGCCGGUGAAGAUAAUGACGGUAACCGGAGAAGAAGCCCCGGCUAACUUCGUGCCAGCAGCCGCGGUAAUACGAAGGGGGCUAGCGUUGCUCGGAAUCACUGGGCGUAAAGCGCACGUAGGCGGAUCGUUAAGUCAGGGGUGAAAUCCUGGAGCUCAACUCCAGAACUGCCCUUGAUACUGGCGAUCUCGAGUUCGAGAGAGGUUGGUGGAACUCCGAGUGUAGAGGUGAAAUUCGUAGAUAUUCGGAAGAACACCAGUGGCGAAGGCGGCCAACUGGCUCGAUACUGACGCUGAGGUGCGAAAGCGUGGGGAGCAAAACAGGAUUAGAUACCCUGGUAGUCCACGCCGUAAAACGAUGGAUGCUAGCCGUUGGGGGGUUUACCUCUCAGUGGCGCAGCUAACGCCUUAAGCAUCCCGCCUGGGGAGUACGGUCGCAAGAUUAAAAACUCAAAUGAAUUGACGGGGUCAUAGCUG
RNAcentral lists this ribosomal RNA (557 nucleotides) under uncultured bacterium. RNAcentral describes it as "partial 16S ribosomal RNA". It matches the Rfam family "Bacterial small subunit ribosomal RNA", at positions 355 to 932 of the family's 1533-position model. The record is from RNAcentral.